ACGGAAGGCAGCAGUGGGGAAUAUUGCACAAUGGGCGAAAGCCUGAUGCAGCGACGCCGCGUGAGCGAAGAAGUAUUUCGGUAUGUAAAGCUCUAUCAGCAGGGAAGAAGAAAUGACGGUACCUGACUAAGAAGCCCCGGCUAACUACGUGCCAGCAGCCGCGGUAAUACGUAGGGGGCAAGCGUUAUCCGGAUUUACUGGGUGUAAAGGGAGCGCAGGCGGCAGGGCAAGUCUGAUGUGAAAACCCGGGGCUUAACCUCGGGACUGCAUUGGAAACUGCUCAGCUUGAGUGUCGGAGAGGUAAGUGGAAUUCCUAGUGUAGCGGUGAAGUGCGUAGAUAUUAGGAGGAACACCAGUGGCGAAGGCGGCUUACUGGACGACAACUGACGCUGAGGCUCGAAAGCGUGGGGAGCAAACAGGAUUAGAUACCCUGGUA
RNAcentral lists this ribosomal RNA (436 nucleotides) under uncultured Lachnospiraceae bacterium. RNAcentral's name for it is "partial 16S ribosomal RNA". It matches the Rfam family "Bacterial small subunit ribosomal RNA", at positions 341 to 792 of the family's 1533-position model. The record is from RNAcentral. Lineage: Bacteria; Bacillati; Bacillota; Clostridia; Lachnospirales; Lachnospiraceae.